CACAAUGAACCCAAGGCAGGAAGGAUAGGAAUGGAAAAGGGCGGACAGAAAGAAGGAAGGAAGGAGGCAACCAACCCACUGUGGCAAUGGGGGAAAAGAAAAGUUAGAAAGAGAACCUGAAGCAAAGAGCCUGCCCUUUUACAGACAGAGAUUCCCUGCUUGCCUGCCUUACUUCCUUUCCCUCCUUAAGUCCAUGCUCUCAGGCUCACAUGUGGCCCAUUGGUAGGAUAACUGAGCCUUGUCUCGCUGCCUUGAUUCCAAGGGAACACAAAAGGGAAGGGAACAACACCUAAUCUCCUCCCCUCCUCCCCUCCUCCUC
This 319-nucleotide long non-coding RNA is filed under the name Physcomitrium patens. Its description in RNAcentral is "long non-coding RNA (PPAT_LNC014205)". Lineage: Eukaryota; Viridiplantae; Streptophyta; Bryopsida; Funariales; Funariaceae. The record is from RNAcentral.